This is a long non-coding RNA of Zophobas morio, 349 nucleotides long. RefSeq lists it as uncharacterized. The record is from RefSeq and is a predicted model, not a curated record. The transcript is spliced from 3 exons. NCBI's taxonomy places the organism in Eukaryota, Metazoa, Arthropoda, Insecta, Coleoptera, Tenebrionidae.
AGGUAAUCAAAAAUGACCGUCAUACGUCACUGUCGCAUAUUUUUUAUAAUUUUGUGUGUACUCACAAUUUUAAGUGUGAUACAAACACAAGCAGAUAAUCCAGUUGUGAAUAAUACUGUCAAUUCUAUAAACAUCAAUGGCACAAACACCAAUGGUAUAAACAAGUACGAAUUAGAGGUAGAAAACGAGAAACCAGGCCACGAAAAACAUUCGAGAGUUCGAAGGGACACAGACAAAAUCCGUGUAAUACCUCCCAGUUACUGUUUCUUUUUUGGGAAAUGUUACGAUAUAUUUUGCGAAUGUCAUAAAAUGAAGAUAUGAUAAAAUGACUUAAACUCUUACCUGAUAA